CUGCUUCUAGUAGUCGGGCGACCCACAACCAUCACCAUCCGAUCAGGCAGCGCAGUGAUCCCGCAGGCACAAAUGGUUUACCUUGCGUGGGAGACCUUCCAAACCAGCAACAACAUGUAGCUGAGCUGAUCUGCUAGAUCUUCUGCAGAUGGGCCUCAGCCCACUCGUCGUGAGCAUCUUCAUCGCCCAGAGCGCGGUGGGCCGCUAUCCGUCGCCGCCUCCCCUCAGGUCCAGCCCGUGUCUCUAUCUGCUUCUAUUCCUGUUUGCAAAAUCUUCCAAAAUUCAUAUCUUUAAAUUGGUAACUCCAAAUAAAAUGUUCU
Long non-coding RNA from Lolium rigidum, 320 nucleotides. RefSeq lists it as uncharacterized. The transcript has 3 exons. The record is from RefSeq and is a predicted model, not a curated record. Lineage: Eukaryota; Viridiplantae; Streptophyta; Magnoliopsida; Poales; Poaceae.